This 465-nucleotide ribosomal RNA is filed under the name uncultured bacterium. RNAcentral describes it as "partial 16S ribosomal RNA". It matches the Rfam family "Bacterial small subunit ribosomal RNA", at positions 28 to 507 of the family's 1533-position model. The record is from RNAcentral.
GACGAACGCUGGCGGCGUGCUUAACACAUGCAAGUCGAGCGAGGCCCCUCCUUCGGGAGGGUGUCCUAGCGGCGAACGGGUGAGUAAAACGUGGGCAACCUGCCCUCAGCUCUGGGAUAACUCCGGGAAACCGGGGCUAAUACCGGAUACGACCUCCACGGGCAUCUGCGGAGGUGGAAAGUUUUUCGGCUGAGGAUGGGCCCGCGGCCUAUCAGCUAGUUGGUGGGGUAGUGGCCCACCAAGGCGACGACGGGUAGCCGGCCUGAGAGGGCGACCGGCCACACUGGGACUGAGACACGGCCCAGACUCCUACGGGAGGCAGCAGUGGGGAAUAUUGCGCAAUGGGCGAAAGCCUGACGCAGCGACGCCGCGUGAGGGACGAAGGCCUUCGGGUUGUAAACCUCUUUCAGCAGGGACGAAGCGAAAGUGACGGUACCUGCAGAAGAAGCACCGGCCAACUACGUG